ACGCUCGACACCUACGGGAGGCAGCAGUGGGGAAUAUUGCACAAUGGGGGAAACCCUGAUGCAGCAACGCCGCGUGAAGGAAGACGGUUUUCGGAUUGUAAACUUCUGUUCUUAGUGAAGAUAGUGACGGUAGCUAAGGAGCAAGCCACGGCUAACUACGUGCCACAGCCGCGGAAUCUGAGCGGGCUGGCAAGGC
This 196-nucleotide ribosomal RNA is filed under the name uncultured bacterium. Its description in RNAcentral is "partial 16S ribosomal RNA". It matches the Rfam family "Bacterial small subunit ribosomal RNA", at positions 328 to 539 of the family's 1533-position model. The record is from RNAcentral.